Molecule: ribosomal RNA, 38 nt
Filed under: Ceriporiopsis sp. JV0904/46
Lineage: Eukaryota; Fungi; Basidiomycota; Agaricomycetes; Polyporales; Meruliaceae
Description: partial 28S ribosomal RNA
Source: RNAcentral
CUGAUCUCAAAUCAGGCGGGACUACCCGCUGAACUUAA